GACGAGGUGGCCGAGUGGUCAAAGGCGCCGGGUUGUUACCCCGGUCCCAGCAAUGGGUGCGCGAGUUCGAAUCUCGCCCUUGUCA
Molecule: non-coding RNA, 85 nt
Organism: Echria macrotheca
Lineage: Eukaryota; Fungi; Ascomycota; Sordariomycetes; Sordariales; Schizotheciaceae
Source: the annotation of a GenBank genome assembly